GUGGGGAAUAUUGGACAAUGGGCGAAAGCCUGAUCCAGCCAUGCCGCGUGUGUGAAGAAGGUCUUCGGAUUAUAAAGCACUUUAAGUUGGGAGGAAGGGCAGUAAGUUAAUACCUUGCUGUUUUGACGUUACCAACAGAAUAAGCACCGGCUAACUUCGUGCCAGCAGCCGCGGUAAUACGAAGGGUGCAAGCGUUAAUCGGAAUUACUGGGCGUACAGCGCGCGUAGGUGGUUCAGCAAGUUGAAGGUUAAAUCCCCGGGCUCAACCUGGGAACUGCCUCCAAAACUACUGAGCUAGAGUACGGUAGUGAGUAGUGGAAUGUCCUGUGUAGCGGUGAAAUGCGUAGAUAUAGGAAGGAACACCAGUGGCGAAGGCGACUACCUGGACUGAUACUGACACUGAGGUGCGAAAGCGUGGGGAGCAAACAGGAUUAGAUACCCUUGUAGUCC
Molecule: ribosomal RNA, 450 nt
Filed under: uncultured bacterium
Lineage: Bacteria
Description: partial 16S ribosomal RNA
Rfam family: Bacterial small subunit ribosomal RNA
Source: RNAcentral